GAAUCUCCCGUUCGGAAACAUCUCUUAGUCCUCAUUUACUCACUGGGAACCUCGGAGGAUUUCAGCUGAUGUUUUUCUCUCCUUAGACAGUGAGGAGCUCAACAUAACAGGGAAAAGGAGCACAGGAUGCAGCUACUUGGAGGGUGUUGAUUGAAAACUUCGAUCUCCCCACCCCAUUCACGGUUGAUUUGACGGAUUUCUCACCUCGUUCACAGAAAAUUUCAAUUAAGGAACAAACAUGCUACAAAGUUUCAGCCAAUGAGAUACAAGGGAAAUGAUUUCCUGUGGGGCUUUAAGAGAGAAACAAGGAAGAUUGAGUUCUUGUUCUUGUAGAUCCUGAUGUGUGUCAAUUGGUAGAUGGAGCUGCUUCAGUCAUCUUCAAGGAGGAGAUAAGAGGCUCAGGCCCCUUUAGAUGGAAUAUAAUACAGCAGAAGCCUUUUCAUCAAAAGGAUUAAUGCCUGCAUCAUCAUUUCUGCAAUAAAACAAGAAGCUAAGUGGUGGAGGCCACAGACACUUCAAACCUGGAUUCCACAAUUCUAUGUUAAGUGUUGGAGUUUUUAUUAC
This 564-nucleotide small RNA is filed under the name Pongo abelii (Sumatran orangutan). RNAcentral's name for it is "processed transcript". Lineage: Eukaryota; Metazoa; Chordata; Mammalia; Primates; Hominidae. The record is from RNAcentral.